RNAcentral lists this ribosomal RNA (510 nucleotides) under uncultured bacterium. Its description in RNAcentral is "partial 16S ribosomal RNA". It matches the Rfam family "Bacterial small subunit ribosomal RNA", at positions 28 to 507 of the family's 1533-position model. The record is from RNAcentral.
GACGAACGCUGGCGGCGUGCUUAACACAUGCAAGUCGAACGAAGAGCGAUGGAAGCUUGCUUCUAUCAAUCUUAGUGGCGAACGGGUGAGUAACGCGUAAUCAACCUGCCCUUCAGAGGGGGACAACAGUUGGAAACGACUGCUAAUACCGCAUACGAUCUAAUCUCGGCAUCGAGGAUAGAUGAAAGGUGGCCUCUACAUGUAAGCUAUCACUGAAGGAGGGGAUUGCGUCUGUUUAGCUAGUUGGAGGGGUAACGGCCCACCAAGGCGAUGAUCAGUAGCCGGUCUGAGAGGAUGAACGGCCAAAUUGGGACUGAGACACGGCCCAGAAUCCUACGGGAGGCAGCAGUGGGGAAUCUUCCGCAAUGGACGAAAGUCUGACGGAGCAACGCCGCGUGAGUGAUGACGGCCUUCGGGUUGUAAAGCUCUGUUAAUCGGGACGAAAGGCCUUCUUGCGAAUAGUGAGAAGGAUUGACGGUACCGGAAUAGAAAGCCACGGCUAACUACGUG